This is a long non-coding RNA of Phyllopteryx taeniolatus (common seadragon), 822 nucleotides long. RefSeq lists it as uncharacterized. NCBI's taxonomy places the organism in Eukaryota, Metazoa, Chordata, Actinopteri, Syngnathiformes, Syngnathidae. The transcript is spliced from 5 exons. The record is from RefSeq and is a predicted model, not a curated record.
ACAGAGCCCUUAACCUCUCUCCUCAAACCCUUACCUAAUCUUAAUACACAUUUUGAAGAAGAAGCUCGUCGGAGGAAUGCUUGACCUGAUCCAUCUAAUAUUCCUUUUGAAUUGGGUUUUAUUUUUAUCAUGUUUUGGAUUUUCACAUUUUGGAAUUUUCAUUUACCUUGAAAGAGACUUUGAAUGGAACCAACUAUUUCAUAGGACAGAUGUUUUUGGAUUGUUUUGGAUUUCAUCUCAAAGGAUCGGCUUGAAAUAUUUGACCUCAUUUAUGAGAAGGAUGUGAGUGAGACGUGAAAGAAAAAUUCUGGAAGGAGCGAGACGAUGUAGUUCUGAACAUCCCAGAGAGAGAGAGAGUCAAGAUUGGUGCAGAUUGCAAUGGGCAUGUUGGUGAAGGAAACAGGAGUGAUGAAGAAGUAAAUGGGUCUCAAUAUCAUUGCCCACGUGAGCAUUGAAGUCCCCCACCAGAACGAUUGGAGGACUCCAAAAACGGCGCCGAGCCGGGGAACAAUACCCACACCUGCUCGGCGCUUCUCACCGUGGGCAACUCCAGAGUGGAAGAGAGUCCAACUCCUCUCAAGAGAACUGGUACCAGAGCACAAGCCAUGUGUGGAGGCGAGUCCGACUAUAUCUAGUCGGAACUGCUGACCUCACACACCAGCUCGGGCUCCUUCCCUGCCAGACAGGUGGUGAGCACAUGGGAAGGGGGACCCACUACCAGUACUGGUACAGCUACAAAAUAAAGAUGAAAAAUCAACACUAUCACCUACUGCAAAGGCAAAAUGAAAUAUCAACACUGCUAAUACAACAAGCGGCUCAUUU